Molecule: ribosomal RNA, 337 nt
Filed under: uncultured Glomus
Lineage: Eukaryota; Fungi; Glomeromycota; Glomeromycetes; Glomerales; Glomeraceae
Description: partial 18S ribosomal RNA
Source: RNAcentral
CGUAAGGCGCCGAAUGAGUCAUUAAAAAUUAACAUCAUCCGAUCCCUAGUCGGCAUAGUUUAUGGUUAAGACUACGACGGUAUCUGAUCGUCUUCGAUCCCCUAACUUUCGUUCUUGAUUAAUGAAAACAUCCUUGGCAAAUGCUUUUCGCAGUAGUUAGUCUUCAAUAAAUCCAAAGAAUUUCACCUCUGACAAUUGAAUACUAAUGCCCCCAAUAUCCCUAUUAAUCAUUACGUCAAUCCUAGAAACCAACAAAAUAGGAUCAAACGUCCUAUUUCAUUAUUCCAUGCUAAUGUAUUCAGGCGUUAGCCUGCUUAAACACUCUAAUUUUUCAAAG